UGGGCAUGUGGCACACAGCCCCCGAGCCGUUACACGACUAGUUUGGUGAGUAUAAGGGUCAACCUUUGGUCAACAAGACCAUCCAUCAACAAUAACCUUAUCUAUUUCAAAAAUAGUGGUAAUUGCCAAUUAGGUGCGAAAUCUUCGAGUCCAUUAACCGAAAUUUUCCUUUAAUAACCAGAAUAGAAUAUUCCAUUUUACCUACGCCACCUGCUCAUUCAACUUCCGUACUGUAGCUCUAGCACCACCGCUGCCCGAUCCUCGAGCUCUAGCGCCGCCGUCCCCCACCA
RNAcentral lists this long non-coding RNA (290 nucleotides) under Setaria viridis. Its description in RNAcentral is "long non-coding RNA (SVIR_LNC004673)". The record is from RNAcentral. Lineage: Eukaryota; Viridiplantae; Streptophyta; Magnoliopsida; Poales; Poaceae.